This 1371-nucleotide long non-coding RNA is filed under the name Taeniopygia guttata (zebra finch). Its description in RNAcentral is "lncRNA (ENSTGUG00000027438.1)". The record is from RNAcentral. Lineage: Eukaryota; Metazoa; Chordata; Aves; Passeriformes; Estrildidae.
CCAGUGUUCAAAAAUAUCUUGCCUGACUUCUUGAGAAGUAACUCCAGGCCCUGAAAAUUCCUUCUCACCACACUGCACAAAAGGAGGCAUUAUGUCUAUGGGUUUAGAAGUAUUUUUCCAUGGAUUCCUGAUCUCACAUUCUUCAUUCUGCACGGCUGGAAGUCAUGCCUCAUAAAGGUCACAGGAUUUUGAGCUUCUCCUUCACUGAAAUCACUUCACUGAAAUACCUUGUCACAAAGACAGGAUGGCCACCCUUUUUUCUCACUCUGCUUCCCAGCCCUCCUUGUGGCCUGUAACUGGUCUCUGAAGAAAAUGCCUGAGCUGGGUGUGGAGAUCUACAUGGAAGCUGGCGUUGAAUGAUAGAAGGUGAAUACCUUCUCCUGGCUCAGAGAGGUCACUGCAGAGUGUCAUGGAUGUUCUCCAUCGGGAAAAGGGAAGACAUUUUCACUAAAGAUGCCUAUAUUGCACCUACUUUGUAGAAAAAGAGGGUUUUACUCUAUGAUGCUGCAUUACCACCCCUUCAAUAAAAUUUGAAAAUCUGCAAACUUCCUAAUCUUUGCACAAGCACUUAGCCAUGAGAUUUUUACUGCUACUAAUAGGAGUCUUUCAGCUAAAUCUCUACAUGUCUCUGUAAUUACCUACACAAGAAGUAAUGUUCUGUAAUACCAUUCAAUCUCUAUUUUCAUGUCAUGCCACAGUCUAAUAUUCCUCAGCCCAUGGCAAAUAUGCCUUCAGAAAAUAGCCUGAGAUAGGACAAAAUAAGAUCCAUGUUUAAGUAAGAAGCACUCAGUGAAACAGAAUCCUGUCUACUGACUUGAUACACCAGACCAUAAGGAUAUAAAAAGUGCAGGAAUGGUUUGUGCCAGAUACAGUCUCUAGUUGGAAAAUUUGGUUCUAAAAACCCAUGAGAAAAAGAACUUGUUCAUUCACUGAAUGAAAAAAAAAGAAAAGCCAAGUUAUUUGAAAUAAAAUGGAAACUAUUUGAACUAUACCCUUCACUUUAUUUCCAAUCAAGCUUACCACUGGAUGUCUAUAGAACAAACCCAAAAACACACAGAAAAUGAAAUGUUCAUCCCAAAUUGGAGAAGCAGCUUAUAGGAAAGACACUGAUUUGCAAUCUUCGUUCAGUCUCAUAGAGCUCUCUACUUUGUAGGAGAUAUUACAGUAAACUUCAAAAACCAGUCUAGAGAGCAGGUUUCUUAGUUCCAGGGUGUCCAUAACUUUCCUUGAUUCAUAUGGGACACAAGAAGCAAGAUGACAUUUGUUCUAAAAUGAUUGACUGAGGAUUUCACUGGAGGUCUUUUGCAAUUGACCUUCUGAGAGAAAUGCAGAAAGAUUUGAAAUGACUGAGCCGGAAAGCUUUUCCUACCC